UAAAAAACAAAUCCUAAGUUUCCGUGUCCAACGUUUGACCGUCCGUUUUAUAUGAAAAUUUUUUAUAAUUAGUAUUUUCAUUGUUGUUAGAUGAUAAAACAUGAUUAAUAUUUUAUGUGUGACUUAUCUUUUUAAUUUUUUUUAUAAUUUUUUUAAAUAAGACGGACGGUUAAACUUUGAACACGGAAACUCAGGGUUUGUCUUUUU
Oryza rufipogon (brownbeard rice) is the source of this 207-nucleotide microRNA precursor. It matches the Rfam family "MIR812 microRNA precursor family". The record is from Rfam. NCBI's taxonomy places the organism in Eukaryota, Viridiplantae, Streptophyta, Magnoliopsida, Poales, Poaceae.